UGCCAAGGAUUGCUAUGCCAAAUUUCAAAG
This 30-nucleotide non-coding RNA is filed under the name Mus musculus (house mouse). Lineage: Eukaryota; Metazoa; Chordata; Mammalia; Rodentia; Muridae. The record is from RNAcentral.